This 468-nucleotide ribosomal RNA is filed under the name uncultured bacterium. RNAcentral describes it as "partial 16S ribosomal RNA". It matches the Rfam family "Bacterial small subunit ribosomal RNA", at positions 28 to 507 of the family's 1533-position model. The record is from RNAcentral.
GACGAACGCUGGCGGCGUGCUUAACACAUGCAAGUCGAACGGAAAGUCCCUGCUUUUGUGGGGUGCUCGAGUGGCGAACGGGUGAGUAACACGUGAGUAACCUGCCCUUGUCUCUGGUAUAUCUUCAGGAAUCUGGGGCUAAUUCCCGAUAGGAGCUCCUGCUGCAUGGUGGGUGUUGCAUAGUUGCGGCGGUUGGGGAUGGACUCGCGGCUUAUGGGUUUGUUGGUGGGGUAGUGGCUUACGAAGGCUUUGACGGGUAGCCGGCCUGAGAGGGUGACCGGCGACAUUGGGACUGAGGUAGGGACCAGUCUCCAAUGGGAGGCAGCGGUGGGGAGUAUUGCACAAUGGGGGAAAGCGUGAUGCAACAGCGCUGCGUGCGGGAUAACGUCCUGCGGGUGGUAAACGGCUUUCGCCUGUGACGAAGAGUGAGUGACGGUAAUGGGUAAGAAAGCACCGGCUAACUACGUG